GGAAGGAAACCAACAGGGAUUGCCUCAGUAGCGGCGAGUGAAGCGGCAAAAGCUCAGAUUUGAAAUCGUGUUUCGGCACGAGUUGUAGAUUGCAGGUUGGAGUCUUUGUGGAAGCGUGUGUCUAAGUCCCUUGGAACAGGGUGCCAUUGAGGGUGAGAGCCCCGUGAGACGCGUGCGGAAGCUGUAAGGCCCUUCUGACGAGUCGAGUUGUUUGGGAAUGCAGCUCUAAGUGGGUGGUAAAUUCCAUCUAAGGCUAAAUAUUGGCGAGAGACCGAUAGCGAACAAGUACUGUGAAGGAAAGAUGAAAAGCACUUUGAAAAGAGAGUGAAACAGCACGUGAAAUUGUUGAAAGGGAAGGGUAUUGGGCUCGACAUGGGAUUUGCGCACCGCUGCUCCUUGUGGGCGGCGCUCUGUGCUUUUCCUGGGCCAGCAUCGGUUUUUGCCGCAGGAGAAGGCGUGCUGGAAUGUGGCUCUUCGGAGUGUUAUAGCCAGUGCGAGAUGCUGCGUGCGGGGACCCGAGGACUGCGACAUCUGUUCUCGGAUGCUGGCACAACGGCGCAAUACCGCCCGUCUUGAAACAUGGACCAAGGAGUCUAACG
This 599-nucleotide ribosomal RNA is filed under the name Pichia occidentalis. RNAcentral's name for it is "eukaryotic LSU rRNA". It matches the Rfam family "Eukaryotic large subunit ribosomal RNA", at positions 56 to 680 of the family's 3401-position model. Lineage: Eukaryota; Fungi; Ascomycota; Pichiomycetes; Pichiales; Pichiaceae. The record is from RNAcentral.